CCUACGGGUGGCAGCAGUGAGGAAUAUUGGUCAAUGGUCGGGAGACUGAACCAGCCAAGCCGCGUGAGGGAGGAAGGUACAGAGUAUCGUAAACCUCUUUUGUCAGGGAACAAAGGCGGGGACGUGUCCCCGGAUUAGUGUACCUGAAGAAAAAGCAGCGGCUAACUCAGGGCCAGCAGCAGAGGUAAUACGGAGGAUGCGAGCGUUAUCCGGAUUUAUGGGGGUGAAAGGGUGCGCAGGCGGUCUGGUAAGUCAGCGGUCAAAGCCCGGGGCUCAAACCGGGCCUGCCGUUGAAACUGGCAGUCUCGAGUUGGAGAGAGGUAUGCGGAAUGCGCGGUGUAGCGGUGAAAUGCAUAGAUAUCGCGCAGAACUCCGAUUGCGAAGGCAACAUGCCGGCUCCACACUGACGCUGAGGCACGAAAGCGUGGGUAUCGAACAGGAUUAGAUACCCCUGUAGUC
RNAcentral lists this ribosomal RNA (459 nucleotides) under uncultured bacterium. RNAcentral describes it as "partial 16S ribosomal RNA". It matches the Rfam family "Bacterial small subunit ribosomal RNA", at positions 338 to 795 of the family's 1533-position model. The record is from RNAcentral.